Molecule: non-coding RNA, 29 nt
Filed under: Mus musculus (house mouse)
Lineage: Eukaryota; Metazoa; Chordata; Mammalia; Rodentia; Muridae
Source: RNAcentral
UGAUAAAAUAGGCCUAACCUACACAAUGU